UGGUAGAGCAACUGACUUGUAAUCAGUAGGUUGGGGGUUCAAGUCCUCUAGCCGGCACCA
This 60-nucleotide transfer RNA is filed under the name Bacillus anthracis (anthrax bacterium). Its description in RNAcentral is "tRNA-Leu". It matches the Rfam family "tRNA", at positions 16 to 71 of the family's 71-position model. From Rfam's summary of the family: Transfer RNA (tRNA) molecules are approximately 80 nucleotides in length. Their secondary structure includes four short double-helical elements and three loops (D, anti-codon, and T loops). Lineage: Bacteria; Bacillati; Bacillota; Bacilli; Caryophanales; Bacillaceae. The record is from RNAcentral.